UGCAGUCGUACGCUUCUUUUUCCCCGGAGCUUGCUCCACCGGAAAAAGAAGAGUGGCGAACGGGUGAGUAACACGUGGGUAACCUGCCCAUCAGAAGGGGAUAACACUUGGAAACAGGUGCUAAUACCGUAUAACAAUCGAAACCGCAUGGUUUUGAUUUGAAAGGCGCUUUCGGGUGUCGCUGAUGGAUGGACCCGCGGUGCAUUAGCUAGUUGGUGAGGUAACGGCUCACCAAGGCCACGAUGCAUAGCCGACCUGAGAGGGUGAUCGGCCACAUUGGGACUGAGACACGGCCCAAACUCCUACGGGAGGCAGCAGUAGGGAAUCUUCGGCAAUGGACGAAAGUCUGACCGAGCAACGCCGCGUGAGUGAAGAAGGUUUUCGGAUCGUAAAACUCUGUUGUUAGAGAAGAACAAGGAUGAGAGUAACUGUUCAUCCCUUGACGGUAUCUAACCAGAAAGCCACGGCUAACUACGUGCCAGCAGCCGCGGUAAUACGUAGGUGGCAAGCGUUGUCCGGAUUUAUUGGGCGUAAAGCGAGCGCAGGCGGUUUCUUAAGUCUGAUGUGAAAGCCCCCGGCUCAACCGGGGAGGGUCAUUGGAAACUGGGAGACUUGAGUGCAGAAGAGGAGAGUGGAAUUCCAUGUGUAGCGGUGAAAUGCGUAGAUAUAUGGAGGAACACCAGUGGCGAAGGCGGCUCUCUGGUCUGUAACUGACGCUGAGGCUCGAAAGCGUGGGGAGCAAACAGGAUUAGAUACCCUGGUAGUCCACGCCGUAAACGAUGAGUGCUAAGUGUUGGAGGGUUUCCGCCCUUCAGUGCUGCAGCUAACGCAUUAAGCACUCCGCCUGGGGAGUACGACCGCAAGGUUGAAACUCAAAGGAAUUGACGGGGGCCCGCACAAGCGGUGGAGCAUGUGGUUUAAUUGGAAGCAACGCGAAGACCCUUACCAGGUCUUGACAUCCUUUGACCACUCUAGAGAUAGAGCUUCCCCUUCGGGGGCAAAGUGCCAGGUGGUGCAUGGUUGUCGUCAGCUCGUGUCGUGAGAUGUUGGGUUAAGUCCCGCAACGAGCGCAACCCUUAUUGUUAGUUGCC
Molecule: ribosomal RNA, 1091 nt
Filed under: Enterococcus faecium
Lineage: Bacteria; Bacillati; Bacillota; Bacilli; Lactobacillales; Enterococcaceae
Description: bacterial SSU rRNA
Rfam family: Bacterial small subunit ribosomal RNA
Source: RNAcentral